GAUGAAGAACGUAGCGAAAUGCGAUACGUAAUGUGAAUUGCAGAAUUCAGUGAAUCAUCGAGUCUUUGAACGCACAUUGCGCCCCCUGGUAUUCCGGGGGGCAUGCCUGUCCGAGCGUCAUUGCUGCCCUCAAGCACGGCUUGUGUGUUGGGCCUCCGUCCUCCUCCCGGGGGACGGGCCCGAAAGGCAGCGGCGGCACCGCGUCCGGUCCUCAAGCGUAUGGGGCUUCGUCACCCGCUCUUGUAGGCCCGGCCGGCGCUUGCCGACACAUCAAUCUUUUUUCCAGGUUGACCUCGGAUCAGGUAGGGAUACCCGCUGAACUUAAGCAUAUCAAUAAGCGGAGGA
RNAcentral lists this unclassified non-coding RNA (345 nucleotides) under soil metagenome. Its description in RNAcentral is "partial contains 5.8S ribosomal RNA, internal transcribed spacer 2, and large subunit ribosomal RNA". The stretch from base 1 to 120 matches the Rfam family "5.8S ribosomal RNA", at positions 35 to 154 of the family's 154-position model. The record is from RNAcentral.